Haliotis rubra (blacklip abalone) is the source of this 136-nucleotide long non-coding RNA. RefSeq lists it as uncharacterized. The transcript is spliced from 3 exons. The record is from RefSeq and is a predicted model, not a curated record. NCBI's taxonomy places the organism in Eukaryota, Metazoa, Mollusca, Gastropoda, Lepetellida, Haliotidae.
AGAUUCUUGUUGGGAAAAUGUCUUACAUGGAGGUUACUUUCAUAGCAAAACAUAUCAACCUGCUAAACAGACUACAGAUUCAUUGUUGGGAAAAUGUCUGACCAAAACAUGUCAGGCAUCUGAAUUUUGUACAAAC